UCCUAAACUCUUAAAGUGGUGAAAUGGCA
This 29-nucleotide non-coding RNA is filed under the name Mus musculus (house mouse). The record is from RNAcentral. Lineage: Eukaryota; Metazoa; Chordata; Mammalia; Rodentia; Muridae.